Molecule: ribosomal RNA, 320 nt
Filed under: Zachvatkinia sp. 2 LMS-2018
Lineage: Eukaryota; Metazoa; Arthropoda; Arachnida; Sarcoptiformes; Avenzoariidae
Description: partial 12S small subunit ribosomal RNA
Source: RNAcentral
UUUUAUUAAACUUAAUCUUUUUGGCGGUUAAUUAACCUCUCAUAGGAAUUUGUUAGUUUUAAUAGAUAACCCGCUUUUAUUAUUUCCUUUUUAAAUUUUAUGUACGGCUGUUGAGUGUUAAUUUAAAAUUUAUUACUAAAAAAAUUUUUUUUUUAAUUCAGGUCAAUGUGUAGAUUAUAAAAAGGUUUUUAAUGAAUUACUUUUUUAGGAAGAAUUAUUUAUUUAUUUUAGAAAUUGGAUAUGAAAGUAAAUAAGAAUUAAAAUUUCUUAUUGGUGGAGGACCUUAUUAAAGUACAUAUCGCCCGUCACUCUUUUAAAAG